GAGACGGAUUCGUGUCAGUUGCUAGAGAAGAACGAAACGACCGUCAGCAGAGGAGGAGGUGUCAUCGGAGGUCUUGAUCAAACAAAGAGAAAUAAGGUGGCGGCCUCAGGAGUCAUCUCUGCUUGCCACAGAAAUUGCAGGAAGAGGAGGAGAAAAUGGAGGGUUCUCUGGAGAAGAUGAGAUGACCUCAUCUUCUUUGGAGAACCUUUCAGUUUUUUCUCCUCUUCCUGCAACUUUUCGUUCCAAGCAGAGGCGACGGCCUCGCCACCUUGUUUCUCUUUUUUCACGACCUUCGACGCUUCCUCUGACGACGAUGGCGGUCGUUUCGUUCUUCUCCAGUAAUUGACCUGAAUCCAUC
Non-coding RNA from Brachypodium distachyon (stiff brome), 358 nucleotides. The record is from RefSeq and is marked provisional. NCBI's taxonomy places the organism in Eukaryota, Viridiplantae, Streptophyta, Magnoliopsida, Poales, Poaceae.